RNAcentral lists this unclassified non-coding RNA (351 nucleotides) under soil metagenome. RNAcentral describes it as "partial contains 5.8S ribosomal RNA, internal transcribed spacer 2, and large subunit ribosomal RNA". The stretch from base 1 to 120 matches the Rfam family "5.8S ribosomal RNA", at positions 35 to 154 of the family's 154-position model. The record is from RNAcentral.
GAUGAAGAACGCAGCGAAAUGCGAUAAGUAAUGUGAAUUGCAGAAUUCAGUGAAUCAUCGAAUCUUUGAACGCACAUUGCGCCCGCGAGUAUUCUCGCGGGCAUGCCUGUCCGAGCGUCAUUUCAACCCUCAGGGCCCGCCUGCUUGCAGGCGCGGCGCUGGUGUUGGGGAUCGGCUACCCUGCCGUCCCCCAAAUACAGUGGCGGUCUCGCUGCAGCCUCCCCUGCGUAGUAACAACACUCGCAUGCGGAGCGCGGCGCGGCCACGCCGUAAAACCCCCGACUUUCUGAACGUUGACCUCGGAUCAGGUAGGAAUACCCGCUGAACUUAAGCAUAUCAAUAAGCGGAGGA